RNAcentral lists this transfer RNA (58 nucleotides) under Listeria monocytogenes. RNAcentral describes it as "tRNA-Lys". It matches the Rfam family "tRNA", at positions 9 to 63 of the family's 71-position model. Rfam says of the family: Transfer RNA (tRNA) molecules are approximately 80 nucleotides in length. Their secondary structure includes four short double-helical elements and three loops (D, anti-codon, and T loops). Further hydrogen bonds mediate the characteristic L-shaped molecular structure. tRNAs have two regions of fundamental functional importance: the anti-codon, which is responsible for specific mRNA codon recognition, and the 3' end, to which the tRNAs corresponding amino acid is attached (by aminoacyl-tRNA synthetases). tRNAs cope with the degeneracy of the genetic code in two manners: having more than one tRNA (with a specific anti-codon) for a particular amino acid; and 'wobble' base-pairing, i.e. permitting non-standard base-pairing at the 3rd anti-codon position. RNAcentral also lists the same sequence under 1 other name. Lineage: Bacteria; Bacillati; Bacillota; Bacilli; Caryophanales; Listeriaceae. The record is from RNAcentral.
AGCUCAGUUGGUAGAGCAUCUGACUUUUAAUCAGAGGGUCGCUGGUUCGAACCCAGCA